UGUUUUGGAGGAGCUGUAGAAGAAAAGCGGGUUUAUACACGGAAGCAAAACCACGACGUAAAUCUUACAACCUGUCUACUCUCGUUUGUCUCUUCGGAUUGAGUUGAGAGGACUGGACAGAUUAGAUUAUACAGAUUUGGUUUACAUUUCACCGGGUGGUGGACGCAGCGGACACAAUGCGGACGGCUUUGUUGUCACUUUCUAUUUUGAUACUCUGCGUAUUGGUCGCAGGGGCUCCAAGUGUCGAGAGAGACGCACCAGAACAUAUUGUUCCAGAUGGUAAUUUGGGCAGUCAAGACCCAAAUACCGCAGGGAAGCAGGGAAAGGGAGCAACACCUGAUGGAUCUGGAA
Poecilia reticulata (guppy) is the source of this 351-nucleotide non-coding RNA. The record is from RefSeq and is a predicted model, not a curated record. NCBI's taxonomy places the organism in Eukaryota, Metazoa, Chordata, Actinopteri, Cyprinodontiformes, Poeciliidae.